GAUGAACGCUGGCGGCGUGCCUAAUACAUGCAAGUCGAGCGAACAGAUGAGGAGCUUGCUCCUCUGACGUUAGCGGCGGACGGGUGAGUAACACGUGGAUGACCUACCUAUAAGACUGGGAUAACUUCGGGAAACCGGAGCUAAUACCGGAUAAUAUAUUGAACCGCAUGGUUCAAUAGUGAAAGACGGUUUUGCUGUCACUUAUAGAUGGAUCCGCGCCGCAUUAGCUAGUUGGUAAGGUAACGGCUUACCAAGGCAACGAUGCGUAGCCGACCUGAGAGGGUGAUCGGCCACACUGGAACUGAGACACGUUCCAGACUCCUACGGGAGGCAGCAGUAGGGAAUCUUCCGCAAUGGGCGAAAGCCGGACGUAGCAACGCCGCGUGAGUGAUGAAGGUCUUCGGAUCGUAAAACUCUGUUAUUAGGGAAGAACAAAUGUGUAAGUAACUAUGCACGUCUUGACGGUACCUAAUCAGAAAGCCACGGCUAACUACGUG
Molecule: ribosomal RNA, 497 nt
Filed under: uncultured bacterium
Lineage: Bacteria
Description: partial 16S ribosomal RNA
Rfam family: Bacterial small subunit ribosomal RNA
Source: RNAcentral